Molecule: long non-coding RNA, 1360 nt
Organism: Hypanus sabinus (Atlantic stingray)
Lineage: Eukaryota; Metazoa; Chordata; Chondrichthyes; Myliobatiformes; Dasyatidae
Exons: 4
Source: RefSeq, a predicted model, not a curated record
AGGAGUUCCACAGCUUUAGACAAAGAUGGAAUGAUUAUGGUACGAGUCAUCUUUCCUUUAACGGAAAAGGGAAUGUAUGCGAAGUGAAACUCAAGAGGAACCAAGACAAAGUUCACUGAGCAACGGUCAGGAUCAGGAGAGGGGAGAAAAAAAGUGCUUGCAAGGUUGGGGAACAGAGUAACUAGAGAACGCGGUGGUCGGGAUAAAUGUUGCAAGGAGAGAGUAGUGGAUUCAAGGUGAGACUUGUGACUGUGAAACAAUCUCAGGUUCUUGGGCUUCCUCCAUGGUGGUUGUAGGAGCUGAUUCUGAUACUGCAGGAAGUGGUUCUGACAUUUCUGGACUCCAUUCUUCUUCAUAAUUGACUCUGCUCUCCUCAACUGAUUGAUGUGUCAUCUCCAGAUGAUAUCAGAUGCAGUCUCCACUGUGCAAGAGAGAGGUCCAGUUUUGUCCUUCAUCUUUCCAAGUACUCACUUUUGAUCACCUCUGUAGCCCCUGGCCAGGACUGCUUGUCCAGGAGUGAAACAUUGAACCUGCUUGUUUGAGGAGCCUUCAAUUCGUCUCAGCUCUUUGUCCUGCAUACUCCUUCUGUGAGUGGAUUUGAGGAGAUCCAAGCGUGACCACAAGGACAACAUUGCUCGUGAAUUGGUUCCAAAAAUGCACAUUCUUGCUCUUCAGUUUCUUAUUCAGAAAUUGUGAUUCCAACUGGUACAAGUGCCUUUAUUUCCAUGUUCAGUGGCGUGACAUGGAAGAUGGGCCCUCUGGGGCGUGGCUCUGUGGACAACCGAUUCCUUGCCAGUGUUGCUGACUGAGGCAUUGCGGGAGAAGGAACAUCAGGAUUUUGCUGUGAUGGAUGUACGGGGGGGGGGGGGGGGUGUCUCUAGUCUAACAACCACUUUCUCUCUCUUUAAGAUUUUGAGUCUGGAGAAUCUCGGAAUAAAAAAACAAUGCAGCAGACUAUAACAAUGUAGUGACUGCUAGUCUCCCCAUUCACUGGGCAAUGGGUGACAUCUCUCUGUCCCUUAUUAGUGACAGAGAAAGCCUGUGGCUGUCAAACUGUUGGAUAAGCAAUAGAUUUUGUUAACUGCAGAUCAUGGUCUCUCUUUGGGUGCUUUGCUAUUGCUUGGUGGGAGGUGGGCGCUGAUACUUUUUGCUGAAAUGGAUGGAGGGGGGAGAUUAAUGCAUUGAUGCUUUGCAGCUGCUUGUGCAGGCGAGGGGUGAGACGGGGCUUUGGGGUUCUAAUGUUUUCUCAGUCAUUCAUUCUUUUGGGUUCUUCUGUUUUUUGUGGAUGUCUAUGAAGAACAGACAUCAGGUUGUAUACUGUAUACAUUCUUUGAUAAUAAACAGAGCCAUUUGAAGCCUU